Zeugodacus cucurbitae (melon fly) is the source of this 4441-nucleotide long non-coding RNA. RefSeq lists it as uncharacterized. The transcript is spliced from 2 exons. NCBI's taxonomy places the organism in Eukaryota, Metazoa, Arthropoda, Insecta, Diptera, Tephritidae. The record is from RefSeq and is a predicted model, not a curated record.
GAUUAGAUAAUGGUUGUGAAAUUUAUGGUUUGUUUUUCUCAGAUAUAGUCAAAUUUAUAGUGAUCGUUAGAGAUAUUUAUUUAUAGAAAGGAGAGAUGCAAAGAAAGGGAUAGAGGCUGAAGUGUUUGUUUUGCGUCGCUAGAAGAUGAAAAUAGAGGUAAAGGCAAAACAAGUGUGUCUACUGGAACUGAGACCUUAGGAGAAGCUAAAGCUUACGCGGAUGUGAUGAUGAGCGAAGUCGAAAUUAGGGAUGGAUAUUGAGACAGACAGAUCGUUACUAUAUCCCUAUAAGUAAGAUGUUUAAAAGAAGAACCUGUAGGGCCGGUUAAAAAUAGAUUUUAAAAUAAAUAUAAUGUGUAAACAAUUUCGUUCAAUAAUUUAUUGUUCGUAAUUUAGGUUUUUACACACACUAAAAUUUUGGUAAACCAAUGAUAAGAAUGUUAUUUUUGCUUCAUUGUAAAAGGUUAGAUUACAAUGCUUUUUCAGAUAGCUUUAUCGGUUUCCUUUUUUUAUGAUACAAUGCAAUUCCCUGAGAACAUUCAUUUUCGAACAAAGUUCUUUAAAGAUUCAUAAAUUAUAAAUGUACCUGGGAAUUUUUAAGGUAUCAUAGAUCAUUCUGAAAUAUUCAGUUCUCUCUUUGCGAGUAUAUGAUGACCAUGGUAUGAGGUUGAACUACAAAACACCGAGGAGUUCUUGCAGAAAUCGAUAUCAAAAGAUAAUGUUGUGAAAUCCGAUCCUGUGGCUUUGUACGACACGGAAUAAAGUCCCUAUCAGGGUGAGUCGAAAGAGAAAAUAGCUCUAUAAUGCAUAUAUUGUUAUCUUGGUCUUUAAAAAUAUACCGUAUAACGUAUCGCGGGCUUGUUGGCAUAGACUAUAAACUUAAUGCAUCCCCACAUGCAGGGGCGAACGCAGGGGGGGGGGGGUUAACAACCCAAAGUAAUUGAAUUUUUAAAUAAUAGAAUUUAAUUCUACAUAGUCAUUUGAAAAAUUGUAAUUCGUUGCUUUCAAAGCAAUCUUUCUGCCGACGAUAUAUGAAUAUGUAAAAUAAAUGAAUACAUUAGUCACAUUAGUUUUGAUACAAUUGUAUCUUUUUUGAUACUUUUUUUCUAAAUUUUGUGAUUUGAUACUUUUUUGUUCACAAACGGCCUAUUUUGAUACUUUUCUGCUGAUAGAAUUUAAUUUUUUGAAACUAUGAAAAUGUUAAACUAGGCCAAUUAAAAAACCCAGAAAAAUAUAAACUGGACAUAGACAUUUUUUUAAUUUGCUUCAAAGUAAUGAGUUUGUCUUAUAACUCUGUGGCUGCUGAACUGGAUUUUUUUAGAUUUAAGGGGAAUUGUGAGUCGAAAAUGGUCUUCUUUUGAAAAUUAGUUCUGAACUGAAAAGUCACCAAUAAGGUUUCUAUUAUUUUUUUUUAGAGUUUAUUGUUAAUCAUAAUACAGGAAAAAUAAAAAUUCAUUUAUUAUGACUUUCAGUUUUCGUUCCAUGAGUAAACUGACAAAACAAAUAAAUUUAAAUUAAAAAAAAAUUAUGCUAUUUGCAAAAAAAUACUUUAGUGUUUUAACUAAAAUGUCUAUAUUUUUAAUAAAAACAACCAGGAAAACCUGGUCUGAAUUAGAUACACAACUUUACUUAUUAUUUGUUUUUGAAAUGAAAAUUUUUAAAACAACGGUUGUGCUUUUGAUACUUUUUGAUACUUUUUUUGCUUGGCAACAUAUACUUAAUUUUUUUAGCUCGAGGCAACACUUGUCACUAAUGAUUAGAGCGUGAAUGAGAGUAGAACAAAUGAAUUAUGUGCGUACGCAAGAAUGAUAGAAGACAAGAUUACGACAGGCGUUUACAGUUAGCUUUUUUGGGUUUUGAGUUCCUGUUGAGUGACAACUUUCACGACCCAAAACAAAGAGCUGAAGUCAAGGCUAGUGUUUAAUUAUUAUUUAAAAUUCUAAGUGAAAAAUGUAUUAACUUGAAAAAGAAGUCCGCAAUGGCGGAAUUAAACAACAAUAGUACAAAAAAGUCGUCUAUAAAGAAUUUUUUUCACUUUUCCAACCAACAAAAAAGUUGGCGAAAUGGCGAACUUUUUGUAACAAAACAUAUAAUAUUAAUUAUAAAUAUGCAUGAUUAUAUUGGACCAUUUUAUAAAUGAAGAUUUUAAGAAUUACGUUCAUUGUGAUAUUUUAUCUGCACAUUAUUCAAUUUGGUUCACUAUGUUUCACAUUUCCGUUUUCCAUUUGACAAUUCUUCUGUUGCCUAUUCCCAUUCGUGGGUCGUGAACGCUUCAGCCUGUCGUAAUCUUGUCUUCUAUCAUUCUUGGUGCGUACGUGUGUUUUGUGCACUGUGCUAAUCACAGCUUAAAUUUAGCCAUCGCAACGACUUGCAAAAUACCUGCUAUAAGAAAUUGUAUUGGUUCCAUGAAAGAGACCGUAAAUCUUUUUCGGAUGUCAACUAAAGCAGGCACACUGCUCAAAAAUCUUAUUCUUGAAUCCUUUCCAAACUCAAAGCAAGUGAGGUUACUUAAAUUCUGCGAAACACGUUGGGUGGAGCAUUUAGAAUAUCUUUCUUUAUUUAACGAUUUAUUCCCAUUGAUCUGUACAGCGCUGGAAGAGCUUGAUACUGAAAAUUUAAGAAGUGAUUUAUCAAAGCCACAUGCUUUGUUGACUGCAAUCCAAUCACCUCAAUUUGUGAUUGCUAUGGCGAUACUAAAGCAAAUUUUUGCAUUAUCAAAACACAUAAGCCUAUGUUUGCAGCAAAUAGACUGUGAUUUGAGCAGCUACGUUGCUUAUGCAAAUAAUUUGUAUGCUGAAAUUAGUGAAAUGCGUAAGGAUUCUGAACAAUCGUUUAAACUAAUUUUUGAAUCAGUUAAAACAAUAGCCGCAGAAUUAGAUUUAGAAAUCAAAAUUCCGCGUUUGGCGAAACGGCAAACUAAUCGCGACAAUUAUGAAGGCGAACCGGAAGAAUAUUACCGCAGAUCAAUUUAUAUACCGUUUUUAGAUCAUUUUUUGGACCAAAUCAAUGAACGAUUUUUAAAACAUCGAGAGCUGCUUUCCAAAAUUGAAAACAUUUUGCCAAAUAAAUGCAUAAAUCUUGACGUUAUUGAGAUGCCGUAGACUGUUCGUGUUUUAGAAAAUCAAUGGUCCGCUGAUGUAGAAGAUCCCGAUGAUUUCGUUGCUGAAUAUAGAAUGUGGAAAAGGAACUGGUUAAAUCAAACAAAGAGAUGCAAAACUUUUUUAGACGCGUUGAAUUGUGGCGAUGCAAAAAUUUUCAAAACAGUGCAUCGUUUUUUAAAGAUUGGAGCAACAAUCCCUAUAUCUGUCGCUUCAAGUGAACGCUCGUUUUCCUCAUUUCGCAGGCUUAAAACAUAUUUAAGAAAUAAAACUGGAGAAGCACGCCUGAACGGAAUGGCUCUCUUGAAUAUCCAUAGAGAUAUAGACGUGACGGAGGAAGAGAUUUUAAAUGUUAUGGCCCAAAAUAAAAGAAGAUUAGACUUCAAUUUGUGAAUAAAAUAAUGAAACAUUGUUUUUUUACCUAACCCAACCCAACCCCCCGCCCCCCAAAUUUUUUUCCUGCGUUCGCCACUGCCCACAUGAAAUGUCUAACGGCAUAAAAUCGCACGACUGAGGCGGCCAAUUGACUGGGCCAUUUCGUACGAUAACAUGUUCACCAAACUCGGUUUUCAAUAAAUCGAUUGUGAUAUUCGCUGUGUGGCUUGUGGCGACGUCCUGUUGGAACCACAUAUUGUCCCAGUCCAUAUCAUCCACUUCGGACCAAAAAUAUUCGGUUAUCUUUGAGCGGUAGCGAUUUCCAUUCAAAGUAACGUGCCGGUUUUGAUCUUCCCGGAAGAAGUACGGCCCAAUGACUUCGCCAGCCCAUAAACCGCACCACCAGCCAGAAAUUAACCUCAUCACUUCGUAGGACGCUCUUAAAGUUGAGGCCAUUGACUCCGAAUUUCGGUAGUAAAGUUUAAUAAUUUCAUCUCUUUGUUGGAUCGUAUAUCUUUCCAUCUUUCUUACUUAAGGAAAUGUCAAAAGGGCGGGGAAAAUAUAACGCCCUUUUGGAAUAUCCUUUAUAUCCGAACUCGAAUAUUUGUAUACUGCGAAUAAAUCUACUGAGUCUGUAACCGAAUCAUGCUUCCAAACGAAUUAUAUAAAUAAACAAGCCACAUACAAUGAAAAUAAAUGGAUGGGCAAAUAUUUUUAACAGAGCUUCUAUAACUCUAUUGAAUAGCCAAUAUCCAUAACAAUAAAGCGGUGGUUAGAACUGCAUUGCGCAAGUGCAAAGUCUUGAGCUUUCUAGGUUGAGAUAGAGACGAAGUCGAUUCGGCAGCAUUUCUUAAAGCAUUUUGCGUAAUGAAAAAAUAAAACUUGGAAUGUCGACAUUACUUUCUCAGAUUAUUUAUAUAUAAUCAGAAAAUAUAUAUAAAAUUAUAAGUAUGUAUUGUUUAUAUGUG